RNAcentral lists this ribosomal RNA (457 nucleotides) under uncultured bacterium. RNAcentral's name for it is "partial 16S ribosomal RNA". It matches the Rfam family "Bacterial small subunit ribosomal RNA", at positions 338 to 795 of the family's 1533-position model. The record is from RNAcentral.
CCUACGGGAGGCAGCAGUAGGGAAUCUUUCACAAUGGGCGAAAGCCUGAUGGAGCAACGCCGCGUGCAGGAUGAAGGCCUGGGUUGUAAACCUCUUUUGCCGGGGAGCAACGGGCGUCACGUGUGGCGCCACUGAGAGUACCCGGAGAAAAAGCAUCGGCUAACUCCGUGCCAGCAGCCGCGGUAAUACGGAGGAUGCGAGCGUUAUCCGGAUUUAUUGGGUUUAAAGGGUGCGUAGGCGGAUCGUUAAGUCAGUGGUCAAAUUGAGGGGCUCAACCCCUUCCCGCCAUUGAAACUGGCGUUCUUGAGUGGAAGAGAAGUAUGCGGAAUGCGUGGUGUAGCGGUGAAAUGCAUAGAUAUCACGCAGAACCCCGAUUGCGAAGGCAGCAUGCCGGCUUCCGACUGACGCUGAAGCACGAAAGCGUGGGGAUCGAACAGGAUUAGAUACCCCUGUAGUC